GGGCCCUGGCAGUCACUCGAGAGGCCUCAGUUCACUGCAAUGCAGGGAGCAAGCGUGGGCACAGCUUGGGGUAGAUGGGUGAAAGGAGCCUCCAUCUGUUAUCUUCUACUGGGGUAGAGAAGAUGAAAAAACUGGAAUCGACCACACAGUGCCUCCACUGAGGGACUGGGCUAAGCAAUCAACAAGGGAGAUACUUGAUAAAGAGUCUGGGGUUGCUCUGAGACCCCUCUCCAGGGUGACUGGUGGCAGCUUGGGAAACCAAACUCUUGUUCACUACAUUAUGCUCCUUCAAGCCUUUCCUACAGAGAAGAGACUGUUGCUUUAAUCCAAGAGACGUCCCCAGGAUGAGCGGGCAUCCUUCUCUGUCUGUGGAAGACUUUGGACAUGUUCCUGUCGCUAAAUGAAUACAGAAUAUCUACCUGGAGUCAUUGCCUGAGAAACUGCAUCUCAUCCCAUGUGGUCACUCCUCGGGGCUCUGUGUAACAAACUAAAUGUGAGAACAUGGCCAA
Chinchilla lanigera (long-tailed chinchilla) is the source of this 509-nucleotide long non-coding RNA. RefSeq lists it as uncharacterized. The transcript has 2 exons. The record is from RefSeq and is a predicted model, not a curated record. NCBI's taxonomy places the organism in Eukaryota, Metazoa, Chordata, Mammalia, Rodentia, Chinchillidae.